UCAGUUGGUAGAGCAUGGCGCUUGUAAUGCCAGGGUAGUGGGUUCGAUUCCCGGGACCACCCAUACGUAGAAUGUAUGCACACAUGACUGUAAGUCGCUUUGGAUAAAAGCGUCUGCUAAAUGGCAUAUAUUAUUAUAUUAUAUUAUUAUAUUAUUUUGAUAAAGAACCCUGGUGUACUAGGGUCUGUGUCUGUUGUGUUUUUUGUUAGAUGAUUGAGGACAUUCUCCAGAGCAAAGCUGGAGGGGAAAGGAUCAUGAACGAGUAUGCUCAGACAAAAAGCUUGAAUUACCGCAUCAGACGUGACAUGAUCAAGAUAUUGGUUGCAAAUAUGACAGAGGCUCAUGGAACAAGUCUCCAACGACAUGGGAAGAAGGAGGCAUAUGCAACAGGAAUAGUUUCCUUGUUCCCCUAUCUGGCUGACCGCAAAAGCAAGACAGACUGCCCACCAUUUAUAAUGCAGAAGACUGAAGUGGCUACUUGGUAUGGAGACUGAAGCACCUGCAAAAGGAGGCUGCAGAGGGAAGAAUAAAGUCACUAACAGGUGGACCAUAGAUCGAGACCCCUUCACGGACGAAGACUGGCUGAGGGAAGAAGGGCAGUGCCGAGAGCCAUCGCACUGAUGAAACACACGUCUGAUGAAGCAACCGUAAAAUAAAAUAUAUUUUUUUCUGUUUCAAAUAUUUUUUAUUAAACACACACACAAGAAUGGGGUAUAGGUAUACAAGACAGGUAUACAAUUCUUAUCUAAACAUAUAAGAGCAUUCAGGAACAACAAGACCCAGAGCCCUGGGUGCAAAACAAAUCAUACAAAACACGAC
Long non-coding RNA from Oncorhynchus keta (chum salmon), 819 nucleotides. RefSeq lists it as uncharacterized. The record is from RefSeq and is a predicted model, not a curated record. The transcript has 4 exons. Lineage: Eukaryota; Metazoa; Chordata; Actinopteri; Salmoniformes; Salmonidae.